This 1058-nucleotide long non-coding RNA is filed under the name Equus asinus (donkey). RNAcentral describes it as "lncRNA (ENSEASG00005025982.1)". Lineage: Eukaryota; Metazoa; Chordata; Mammalia; Perissodactyla; Equidae. The record is from RNAcentral.
AGUACUUACCAUUCUCGGUGCCAGGAUGAAGGAGACAGUGGACAGUCCUCGGCCUUCUGGAGCUGACGUUCUCGAGACUGUGUGGUCUGGCUGCACCAGUAGCUUGCAAGUAAGAUGAAAAGUUUUACGCAGAAUGAGCCAUCCAGGGCUGAACUGGCAGCUCCUCAGCUCUCCUCUCCACUGUCGCUAGAGUGCAGCUCCCUCCUCAGGAUGAUCUCGUGAUUGCAACACGACUGAAGCAGCCCUGGGUGGGUCUUCAGCGUGUCUUCACUCCAGGUGACAGUUACAUCAUCCUGAAAGAACAGGAAAAGCUGCUAUGAUGAGAAACUCUGCAGCAAAGGGACCCAACCUUUGCAAGUUUACAAGUCGUUGGAUUUCAAAUGGCAUGAAAGGAAGCCCUUUGGGCCGGAAGUUGACAUGUCAUUCUGUAGCCCUUAGCCUGACCUUCUCCAAACAUCAGGUCCCACACAAAGACACUCUGCUUCAAAUGACUUUUUUACCUCCAGGCUGGUAACCCUAUCGUCUUCCUGAAUGACACCUCCGCCACAUCCACUCUUGUCAGGAAGGAAGCCUUUUCAUUCCUUGAAGCUCAAAGCCAGUAAUGUUCUUCACAGUGACCUUGAGGGGUGGCUCACCCCCUAGUCCUUGCCAACUACAGAUUAAUUUCUAUUGUUUAGCCCAGAGGAACCUGUCAGGGAACUGUGGAUCCACGUAAGCUCUCUGAUGGGCUAAAGUCAGUUUAAAUUUAUUUGCAGAUGAACUUAUUUGUGAAGGAUAUUUUGAUGGGAAUUAUAGGCUAUUUAAAACUCUCUCUGUUAGAAAAAUAGUGCGAAAUUUCAGUAGAGAUGAAUAUAUUUGCCUCCACGGAAGGACUGCAAAAUUAUUAAAUGAAAAAAAAUGGAGGUUAAACUGUUCUAUUUUGUUAACUAAACCAAGAGAAACACAGCCAAAGACUAGAUUUGAAGGCUGGCCUCAAAUAGUUUCCUGUAAUGAAAAUUGGGAUGAGAGAAACAAUCCAAACUCAAAGAGAACCAACCUUGAUUUAAAUAAAGCUGUUG